Vulpes vulpes (red fox) is the source of this 1580-nucleotide long non-coding RNA. Lineage: Eukaryota; Metazoa; Chordata; Mammalia; Carnivora; Canidae. The record is from Ensembl.
AUGAAGCUGCCCUUCCAGGAGGUAAUAAAGAGAUCGAUACUGGUUACACUGGAAAUCUCAGGAACAAGGGGGCCAGUGACACCUUUGCCACUUCCACUAGCAGGAACACCCUGUGCAACCUUCCCCAGCCCGUGUCACCCUGCCUCCCUCCUGCCACAGCUCUGCACCUGCAGACGGCUGGUGUGCCCAGGACCAGGCCAGCCGGCUUCUCUUCGCAGAGAAGACAUUGGUCAGCGUCAAGAGAUGAUCAACUCAGCCCCAGCAUUCUCUGAUCCCAAAGAGCAGACAGGCAUUCCUGCAGUGCGGCUGAUAUUGCUGGGGGUACACAGAGGGCACCUCGGAAAACGACUCAAGGACACAUUCAGAGUAACAGUAAAGAGACAGUGGAGGCAGGUGGAUAAAUCCCGGAAGACUUCCCGGAAGAGGCAAAUUUCAAUAAGAAAGCAGAGUUUGCGGGUGAUGCAGGAGCUUUAAAGGGAGAGAAAGGUGAAGGAAGCAUUGCAAAAUAAUGGGGUGCUCUCUCCUCUCCCAUGCUCAAAAAAUGGGAUGCUUUCGUGAGGGGGACCCCUAAUUAGCUGAGACAGCUCACAGUCCUCCACCAUGAACAAGAAAUCAAAAAGUCAAACACCAGCUCAUUAAAUGCUCAGGGCUGGCUAGCUAUUAAAAGAAUUUCCAUUUCAGAACAGGAUGCCUACCAGGGAAUGCCAGACCUAAAUAUAAGCCAGCCCCCUCCCUGCCAGGAGACUUUACGGUGUUAGGCAGGCAGGAGGGAGGACUGCGUGGAGAUGUGUCAUUACUUUUAACAUCCAAAUAUAACUCGCCCCAGGGGGUCUGGGACUGAGGCUGCUCUUCCCAGCUGCCUCCUGCCAGAGCCAGGGGGGGCACUGGAGAGCGGGGAGCAGGCCCCACAGAGGGCAGAGAUUUGGGUUGUAAGCAGACCACAGUCGCCCAUCCCCUUCCCCAAAUGCCCGCAGUCUGGAGGGAGGGCCACUGAGGUCUACUGGCUGCUGGGGUGGGGCGGGGGUGGAGGGUAGUUCAGGGGCUCUCUGGGCAGAGGAGGGGGUGCUUUGGAUAUUCAUGAUUACUUUUCCUGCAUGCUUCUCUGGAAUGCGGAGAGGAAAGAAAUUAGGAAGAAAGGACCGUCGAGCUGCCUGCAGAUGUACGUAUAGAUGUACACGUAUCUGCACUUCUUCCCUUCAUGCUUCCGGUUGGCAGUUCUGCACUCACAUGGAUGCUUAUUCAGCAGAUGUGUGUCUGCCCAGAGAUUGCAAGCUCUUUGAGGACAGGGCUGUGUGUCUGUUCACUUUGCAACCCUCCCCGUCUAGCUCAGUGCCCAGCAUAGAGGCCCUGGGGAGGGAAUUAACAGCUGAAAUGCCAACGAUGCCAAUGCCCCGCAUGUGGGCAGAGGGCUUGACACGUCUGGUUCUCAGCUCCGCGCUCAGUGGAAUCACCUGGAUGCCUUCAUGCUGAUUGAUUGGUCUCAGGUACGGGUGCAGCGCGGGCAUCCGGGGUUUUAAAAGCUCCCUAAGUGAUUCUAAUGUGAAGCUGCAUUAUCUAAUAAAAAAGGUUUUAUUCUCUCA